GGAUAGAUGUCCGAGCGGCUGAAGGAGCAUGCCUGGAACGCGUGUAAGGUGUAAGCUUUCGAGGGUUCAAAUCCCUCUCUGUCCGCCA
RNAcentral lists this transfer RNA (88 nucleotides) under Campylobacter fetus. Its description in RNAcentral is "tRNA-Ser". It matches the Rfam family "tRNA". Rfam says of the family: Transfer RNA (tRNA) molecules are approximately 80 nucleotides in length. Their secondary structure includes four short double-helical elements and three loops (D, anti-codon, and T loops). Lineage: Bacteria; Pseudomonadati; Campylobacterota; Epsilonproteobacteria; Campylobacterales; Campylobacteraceae. The record is from RNAcentral. RNAcentral also lists the same sequence under 9 other names.